Molecule: ribosomal RNA, 254 nt
Filed under: uncultured bacterium
Lineage: Bacteria
Description: partial 16S ribosomal RNA
Rfam family: Bacterial small subunit ribosomal RNA
Source: RNAcentral
UACGUAGGGUGCAAGCGUUGUCCGGAAUUAUUGGGCGUAAAGAGCUCGUAGGCGGUUUGUCGCGUCGAAUGUGAAAACCCGGGGCUCAACCCCGGGCCUGCAUUCGAUACGGGCAGACUAGAGUUCGGGAGAGGGAUGCGGAAUUCCAGGUGUAGCGGUGAAAUGCGUAGAUAUCUGGAGGAACACCGGUGGCGAAGGCGGCAUCCUGGACCGACACUGACGCUGAGGCGCGAAAGCUAGGGUAGCAAACGGGG